This 467-nucleotide ribosomal RNA is filed under the name uncultured bacterium. RNAcentral's name for it is "bacterial SSU rRNA". It matches the Rfam family "Bacterial small subunit ribosomal RNA", at positions 355 to 825 of the family's 1533-position model. The record is from RNAcentral.
UAAGGAAUAUUGGUCAAUGGACGCAAGUCUGAACCAGCCAUGCCGCGUGGAGGAUGAAGGUCCUCUGGAUUGUAAACUUCUUUUAUAUGGGACGAAAAAGGGCCUUUCCAGGUCACCUGACGGUACCAUAUGAAUAAGCACCGGCUAACUCCGUGCCAGCAGCCGCGGUAAUACGGAGGGUGCAAGCGUUAUCCGGAUUCACUGGGUUUAAAGGGUGCGUAGGUGGGUUGGUAAGUCAGUGGUGAAAUCUCCGAGCUUAACUUGGAAACUGCCAUUGAUACUAUUAGUCUUGAAUAUUGUGGAGGUCAGCGGAAUAUGUCAUGUAGCGGUGAAAUGCUUAGAUAUGACAUAGAACACCAAUUGCGAAGGCAGCUGGCUACACAUAUAUUGACACUGAGGCACGAAAGCGUGGGGAUCAAACAGGAUUAGAUACCCAAGUAGUCCCUGAGCGGGCUGGCAAGGCGCAU